Molecule: long non-coding RNA, 588 nt
Organism: Gordionus sp. m RMFG-2023
Lineage: Eukaryota; Metazoa; Nematomorpha; Gordioida; Chordodea; Parachordodidae
Exons: 5
Source: RefSeq, a predicted model, not a curated record
GAUAACUUUAAAGUGAUGAAAGAUGCUCUAAUAGUAGAGUUAUCAGAGAUAUCUUAUAUAUGUAUGACGACAGAUAGUUGGACACAUAACACAAGGUAUCGUGAAAGAAUUCUGCUCGUGGUAGUUGGGAAAUCUUUGGUCGAAAAGACAUAUUGUCUAAGGAUUGAGAUUUGACCUCUGAAAAUUUUUUACCAACGACCGGAUUUAAAUCCGUGCUCCCCCACCUCGAAGGAAAAAUGUCUCUCUUAAUGCCCCUCACAUAUUAUAAUAUAAAUUAAUCAGAUCCAAACCCAUAUUAUCGGAGGAAUGUGUUUGUUUUUUAUGCAUACAAAGAUCCCGGCCCUAGGAUCUAAUAAUUGACCAAACCAGCUCUGAGCAAGAACACUGAGCUCAAUUCCCGAUUACGAACCCUGAAUAAAAACCUUGAGCUGAGUCCAAGUAUAAACCCGGAAAACAAACCCUGAGUAGAGACCCCGAAUGCCGCUUCGAGCACAAACCACAAGCACGAUACACGAGCACAAACUCUGAUCACAAUCCUGGAGCAAUCUUAAGCACAAACAAGUACAAUCUCGGGGCAAGCACUCUCUA